Molecule: small nucleolar RNA, 147 nt
Filed under: Sinocyclocheilus rhinocerous
Lineage: Eukaryota; Metazoa; Chordata; Actinopteri; Cypriniformes; Cyprinidae
Source: RNAcentral
CUUCAGUGAUGAUACGAUGACGAGUCGGAUCGAGGCCCGUCUCUGAGGAUUCUGGCUCAGGCUCACGUUCUGUGCGUCAAGACUUCAGUUCCUCAGAGAUCACGUGUCCUCUUAGAUUGAAGAUGUAGAGGCAUUUGUCUGAGAAGG